GAGGUGGGACCCAGAGGCUGGAAAAGGAAGUCAUGUGCGUAUGAAAAGUGUGUCUUUCACUUCAGAGCAUGCUCGCUGAGGCUUGCUCGGCUCCCCCAAAAACCCAGCCUCUAAUUUUGAACCGGAGGGAGCCUCUGAGAGUCGGGAGAGAGAAACUUCAGACCAGAAGGUGUGAAAUUUGAGGAAGAAGGCGAACCCAUAGUCUGCAGUUUUGCUGGAGCUGAGCGGCGUGAUCAGAGGCCCUUUUGACUGCGCCGAGAGAGAGAGGAGUCAGGUCAGUGCAACUGUAUUCAUUUCUCUACCCCAACCCCAACCAAACCCCGCACUCCCCCCAGUUCCCAUCAACAGGCCAGCCGGCCCUGCACAUCGAACCCUGAUGAAUGGGGUCAAUCUGGGGGGCUGCCUGUAGAUUAGCCGGUGAGUCGGGCAAUAAAUGAUCUGAUACAGGCAUCAGACUGAAACACAUUUGGAGAACUGAGCACUACCGUGGCUAGAGCCCACGUCCAAUUGACUGUUUUCU
Colossoma macropomum (tambaqui) is the source of this 520-nucleotide long non-coding RNA. RefSeq lists it as uncharacterized. The record is from RefSeq and is a predicted model, not a curated record. Lineage: Eukaryota; Metazoa; Chordata; Actinopteri; Characiformes; Serrasalmidae. The transcript is spliced from 3 exons.